RNAcentral lists this ribosomal RNA (469 nucleotides) under uncultured bacterium. Its description in RNAcentral is "partial 16S ribosomal RNA". It matches the Rfam family "Bacterial small subunit ribosomal RNA", at positions 28 to 507 of the family's 1533-position model. The record is from RNAcentral.
GACGAACGCUGGCGGCGUGCUUAACACAUGCAAGUCGAACGGAAAGGCCCUGCUUGCAGGGUGCUCGAGUGGCGAACGGGUGAGUAACACGUGGGUGAUCUGCCCCUUACUUUGGGAUAAGCCUGGGAAACUGGGUCUAAUACUGGAUAGGACCAUGCUGUAGGUGGUGUGGUGGAAAGAUUAGUUUCGGUAAGGGAUGAGCUCGGGGCCUAUCAGCUUGUUGGUGGGGUAAUGGCCUACCAAGGCGUCGACGGGUAGCCGGCCAGAGAGGGUGGACGGCAAGAUUGGGACUGAGAUACGGGCCAGCAUCCUACGAGAGGGAGCAGUGGGGAAUAUUGCAAAAUAGGCGCAAGGCUGAUGUAGAGACGCCGCGUGGGGGAUGAAGGACUUCGGGUUGUAAACUACUUCAAGAAAUGAAGAAGCCCUUGUGGUGACGGUAGUGGUAGAAGAAGCACCGGCUAACUACGUG